Dermacentor andersoni is the source of this 574-nucleotide long non-coding RNA. RefSeq lists it as uncharacterized. NCBI's taxonomy places the organism in Eukaryota, Metazoa, Arthropoda, Arachnida, Ixodida, Ixodidae. The record is from RefSeq and is a predicted model, not a curated record.
CGCUAGGAGGAGUGCGAAGCGCGGAAUUGAAACAGACGUACAGCAGGUAACGUUACGAGAAAACAGCCUUCAGACAACGGACCGAAAAUGGAAGGGUAAGGCGCCCUCCAACCCCGGAAGAUGAGUUUGACCUGGAGGAGGAAAUGCGAAGCAUACAGGCGUUACAGGGGCGCCUUGAGCUGACCCUAUGGACGAUUCGGCUGCUGUUGGACAUUGCUGACUACCUACUCCGACUUGCCGGUCCACACGGCGAUAGCAACGAUAAUCCCCGAAGUCAUUGAAGAAACGCUCGAAGCUUGUAUUUUUCUGGAGUUUUUCGUUAUUUUUCUUUCUUUCUUUUUCUAUUUUCUUUUUUUUGUCGGGAAAGAAUUCUUAUGUCAAUAAAUGAAUACUGCAUCCGUUCUUUUGUCACUAUAUGUGGACAGAAUUUCACGCACUGGAAAGAAAGGUGUCCUCCUAUUCACUUGAUGCGUGCAAUUUGCGCGUAUCGCAGUUGUAGCGAAGAUCGAAGGAGAAAUGGGAUGGUGAACAUAAAAGGAGGUCAGCCGGAAGAGCUCCCGGUUUGCUGCCCCUA